GUGUGAUUCCAUCUCUGUGCAGAUGUCUCUGCCUGGCAGAGAUAUUCCUCUUCAUCCUUUCUGCUGCUCCUCCAGUCUGAUCCUGGCAGCCUCAGGCACUGAAUGUGCCUUCCUGCUCUGCUCCCUGCACCGCAGGGCUCCAAGCCUGCACCCCACCUCAUUCCUACCGCCAGGCAGGGAGGUAUGAGCAAAGCACUCAGCUCCUCAGCCUCUUGGUGGGCAGGGCUACAUGAAACCUGGAGUCAGAGAGCCCCAUAAGGCUGGGAGAGAGGCCAGAAAAGUGAAUUCUGGUGACAUCUUUCUCCAGCUGAGGGGCUGGGGUGAGAGCAUCAUCCUCUCACCUGCCACAGCCAUCAUGGCCCUGCACCAUUUCCUUGCUGUUCCUCACACGUCCUUGUUCCUAACUGAGCGUAAGGGUGGGUUAAUUCAGGAAGCUGCAGUGCUGGUGUAAGAAAGGUGAGAGAAUGAACAUCUAAGUGCCCUCAGACCGAGCUACGUGCCCAAGAAUCUGAGGUAUUGUCGUGUUUUGUCUUUAAGGCAAAAAGAUCUUCAUAUGAAUAUUGGACUAUACAGAGGUAAAUGUAUUCAAAUGCAUUUAACAUAAGAUACUGAGAUAUUAGCAUUGCUAUUAGACACAGAAUAUUAGAGCUUUAUUUCCAUUACCAAGCAAGACAUUGAAUUGAAAAGGUAUUUCUUCCUUCAGAAGCCAUGAAGAGAAUCCAAAAGCUCUCAUAUGAUGAGACAACCAGGAAACUCCUUCUUCUCACCUGUUAUUCCUGCACUGACUUUCCAGCAUAAUUCAGAGCUGAACUCUCCAAACUGAGAUGUAGUAAUUCAAUUCGUUACCAGAUUAUACCUACAAAAUGUGGGCAGUUUCUGUACUAAGCAACAUAUAGUACUGCUUCAAAACAGAAAAAAAUGAAAGAUCCCCAAAGCAUCGUGAAGCCACAACAGAGAUACAACAUGGUCUGAUUUUCAAGCCUUUUUUCUGAAUUCUAAUCAUUCCAUGUUAAGGACACUUCUUUCCAGAUAUGUUACAGAUCCAAAAGUAUGGUUUUGAUCUGAAAAUGCGUUUAUUUGUAUUUCAUUAUACAAUCAUAGAAUCCUUAGAAUUGGAAGGGACCUCUGAAGGCCAUCGAGUCCAACUCCCCUACAGUGAACAGGGACACCAAAGCUAGAUCAGGUUGCUCAGAGCCUGAUCCAGACUUGCCUUGAAAGUCUCCUGGGACAGGGCAUCCACCACAUCUCUGGGCAACCUGUUGUAGUGCCUCACCACCUUCACUGCAAAAGAUUUUUUCCUUAUAUCUAAAGAAUUAUCUAUUUAUUUUAUUUAUAUUUAUCUGUGAAAAUGUGUUUGCUGGUACAAAAAUAUUGUCAGUGAAUAUCAACACCCUAUUUCAGUGAAACACAUUAUUGCUGAGCUGUUUGUUACAGAUGCAGGAAAAACUGAACACCUUUGGUUGUGCUGCUGAUCAGAUAGAAACUGUAAUGAACCGUGGGAUGUGUUAACAAGGAAAGCAAAGCUUGUCUUUGACAUCUGAAUAGGAGGUGCUAGCAGUAUUUAUUUAAAUGCACAAUUUAAAGAAAAUGGCUGACUUGAUAAAAGAGCUUGGAAUUCUGAACAUACCACUACUUGCCCAUCUCUGGAGGUGUUGAAGGCCAGAUUGGAUGGAGCCCUGGGCAGUCUGAUCUAGUGCCUGAUUUGGGGCCUGGCAGCCCUUGCCAUGGCAGGGGACUGGAACUAGAUGAUCAUUGAGGUCUCUUUCAACCCAAGCCAUUCUACGAUUCUAAUUCUAUGAUUCUAAUUCACUUGUGGUGACUUCUCCAUGUCUUUAUACUUUGACUGUGCCUCCACCUUGUCCUGCAGUCAGUAGUCUACCUUCCAAGCAUCCCUCUGGCAUGUGGAAAUCAGCUUAACUUGUUUAUACUUCUCUCUGUAUCAAGAUAAUGCAUUCCUACUCAUUGCCUUCUCUACCUUCCAGGCCUUUCGGUUUUGAUCCCUAGGCACUGACAGGUGGAUGAGUGUGUGCAUGUUCUUUCAAACUCAAUGACUGCACAACUCAUUGCAGAGCCUGCUCAGAUGAGUGUAAGCUGUGGGAGCUAACUUUGUGCUUGCCUCAAAGGUGCAAUGCAGCCAAGAGCUUGGCUGUCCCACACUGAAGUGCCCCAAGCUUGGAUGAACUAGGUGGAUAGAAAUGGUGUGUGGAAGCCCUGCUAGGGAAGCAGAUUUCAUUAACCAAAGAAGGCUACUGCUUUGCAGGAACUAACACUACAGCCAGCGGUCCUAAAGGUUUAGGAUCAAUUGUAGGUGGAUGAAUUAGAAUUACUGCAAAGAGACAAAACAAAGAAUGCAGCAUAUCUGUCCACAGCAUCUUAGGAGGAAUCAAAGUGCCAAUAGAAAAAAAAUCUAUUUUUUGCUUCUGUUGUGAACAGAACAGAAAUUCAGAAAAGAAAUAAUUGAUGAUAUGCUUGGAGUAGGAGGAAAUGAGACAGUGGAAGCAAAGCUCUGUGGAAAAAUACUGAUGUUUUAAUUGCUAAAUUCAGCACAGAUAUAUCUUAGGAAGCUAAUCCUAUUGGAUGUUUGCUGUAUUUGGAUAUUGGUUAGUUAUCAGAGGUGUGUGUGUGUGUGUGUGUGUGUGUAACGUGGUCUUUUCUGCAGCCUUCUUUAGCCAGUUGUACUGUCAGGAUGUAUAAUUCAUAAUCUUCUAAGAAUGAUGAUGCGCUCAUUGUAAGGUGGCACAUUCCUUGCAGAACAUACAAAUUAAUAACAUUGCCAACCGAUAGUCGGCUUAUUAGUCUGUCUACUCAGCUUUUAAAAUAUGUUUCAUAGUUCUGUGAAAUAUUUCUGGUGUUGAGGCAAUAUCAGACUACAACUAACAAACAGCAUAUGCAGUAAUGCGUAUCAGUUGCAACAAACAGAACCCACGAAAAGCGUUUAUCUUCAGUAAGUAACAAGCAUAUGACUCCUCUGUAUUGAAAGUCUUGAUCUAAUACAGGUAGCAAAAUCAAAAACCCCAAUAAGCAGCAAAGUAUUUAAGGGUUGACCAGGAAUAGCAGAAGCUGUCGACUCCAAUUAAAAAGACACUUGAUGAAAUGCAAUAAAUCAUUCUUUCAAAGUUAAGAAGCUGGAAAAUGAGUGGUACGCAGUGCUGUGCUACCAACCGUGCAGAUCCUAGGUGCUUGUAUCUGCAGUGGUGAGUCGAUGACAAGUUUUCAAGUGUCCGUGUGGAUGUUUGAUGAGGUCACAGGCAGUGUGUGAGAAGGAAAAAGCACACAUCUGUGAAGAGUGAAAAGUGCACAUUUCAUUUCCUUAGUUCUGAACUCCAUAUGCUCUUGUAAGAUGGGACACGGGCUUAUUCACGCUUGCGAUUCAGAGAUGUCCCUGGUAAGAGGGCUUCAUCCAUGGGACCAGGAGUGGGCCCUACGAGGGAAGAGCAGUGGUGGUCCUUGGAGCUUUACAAACAAAAUGGUUCAAAAUGGACCAACAAGGCUAGAAGCUGGGCUGGGCAAUGGGUUGUAGGGGAACCAGUGUUGGAUGGAGGCGCUUAAAUUCUGCCUAAGCCCUUUUUCUGGUACUGAAGUCCCUUAUAGGAGCUCCUCAUGCAGCUAUUUCCAUUCCCCAUUGAAUUCUGGCAAUCAGUAAUAUUUUAACAGUAAAGAGCUAAGGCCUUUAUUAGCAGGAUGUUCUGCAAGUAGGGAACAAGCAGUCACAAGUGCAAUGUGACUCUAGGGACCAGGAACAAAGCUUCAGAAAAAGUCUUCAGGGCUUUGAAUCCCCCAAGGAGAGAGAGCAGUUGAGAGAAGAGACUGAAAAAAAUAAUAA
Molecule: long non-coding RNA, 3823 nt
Organism: Tympanuchus pallidicinctus (lesser prairie-chicken)
Lineage: Eukaryota; Metazoa; Chordata; Aves; Galliformes; Phasianidae
Exons: 2
Source: RefSeq, a predicted model, not a curated record